Long non-coding RNA from Pomacea canaliculata, 595 nucleotides. RefSeq lists it as uncharacterized. The record is from RefSeq and is a predicted model, not a curated record. Lineage: Eukaryota; Metazoa; Mollusca; Gastropoda; Architaenioglossa; Ampullariidae. The transcript is spliced from 3 exons.
GUGACAACCUAACGACGACGUCUGUCGAGGUUAACAUCGCCGUUACUGACUUUAAACGCAAGUAGACAAAAGCACAGUUGUGUGUGUUUCUUGCUUAACUCGUUGUAUAGCUCCAUAACAAAGCGGUCUACCAAUCACGAUGACUAAACAAACACGGUUGUACCUAGCUGUCGUCUGCUUGCUGCUUUUCAUAACCCUGGAAGCCAGAGGCAUCCACCACCAACAACAUCUCCGUCUGCCUCGAGGGGACUGCAUCCCGCACACGAUUAGUUGUCACCCUACAGGACUUCCUUGUUGCUCUGAGGAUGACACAUGCAGAUUGGUCAAUGACCCCAGUAGUACGUAUGGUGACACUUGCUGAUGUCUCUUCUUGUCACCAUAGCCUAACACCUCACCUUACACCUAACUCACACUUUCUUGCCACAGCUGGUGGUUUCUUGUGUCUGUAACAUGUACACCUGUAUCACCAAAAUCUAUAGUUAUAUAUUUCUAAGAUGUGUACUGUCACGGCUUGCUUUGAAAGAUAAAAAAGUAAUGACAGUUUGACGAGAAAACAUAGUAAAAAAAGGGAUGAAAGAGAGGAACUGUUUCCGUU